RNAcentral lists this long non-coding RNA (1428 nucleotides) under Sus scrofa (pig). RNAcentral's name for it is "lncRNA (ENSSSCG00030023602.1)". Lineage: Eukaryota; Metazoa; Chordata; Mammalia; Artiodactyla; Suidae. The record is from RNAcentral.
GUAGCUGCCAGCCUACGCCAGAGCCACAGCAACAUGGGAUCCAAGCCGCAUCUGUGACCUACACCACAGCUCCCGGCAACGCCGGAUCUUUAAUCCACUGAGCAAGGCCAGGGAUGGAACCCGAAACCUCAUGGUUCCUAGUCAGAUUCGUUUAACCACUGCACGACGAUGGGAACUCCACAUCGUCCCAAUUUUUGUUGGAGUUGACUUCCCAGUCUUAGAGCGUGAGGUCCUUCAUGAAGCUGAGUCAGCCAAUGGUCCCACCAAUGCCUAUUCAAGCAAUGCACCACCUGAGCCUCAUUAAAAAUUGAUCAGUGACCUCCUCAGAGGUGACCAAAGCUCAUCCUGGGAGUGAUCUGGAGAAGGUCCUUCUUUUCAUGAAACAUGAAGCCUCAGACUCCACAGGAGAAAACAGAUGCUGAAAUGGAGUUGACGCAGAAGGACACAGAGCCAGAAACAGCCACUUUGCUGUACGCUUGAAACUAAUACAACAUCAUAAGUCAACUACACUCCAAAAACAAAACAAAACAACCCCCCCCUAAAAAAAAAACAAACAAACCCAGUAGAGAGAAUCCAGAAGGAAGAUGCCAUAAAGCCAAGACCCCACCCUUUCCAGCUUAAGCCAGUGAGCUGGGUUUCUGUGGUUGAGUCUGGAAUCCCACCCCUUGUGCUCAUAGCAGCCCAGCCAUGUGACCCAGCUCACCUGAUUCCAGCCCUGGAGGGUUUGCCCUGGCUCAGAGCCACCUUCAGGGGACCAGCCUCCCACCGUCUGAGUGUGACCAGAAAGCAUGAGGGGCCACUUCAUUGCAAUGUCCCCGCUUCCUCUGCCCCCAGAACUUCAUGUUCAGCCCACCAACUGCAUUUCUACCUGUUUAACGGGUCUCCCUACCAUCUUUCCCGGGAUAAAAACAGAGUUAAACUCCCUCCCCUCUCCUCCCUCUCACCCUCACUCACCCAAAGCAAGAAGGCAGAUGUCUACAAGCCAGGAAGCAGACCCUUACCAAGACUCUGAACAGGCUUCCAGCCUCCAAACUGUGAGAAAACAAGUUUGCAUUUAAGCUCCACCAUCUGUGGUAUUUUACUCUGGCAGCCCCAGCAAACUAAGACAACUGGAUUCCCGAGCUGUCACUACACCCAAGACAGCCCCUCCUCAGAACUUGCACGUGAGGAGCCUGCUGAAGAGGCUUUUAGCCUUGGAAGAGGUGAACGAGUGGGGAGGAAUCAGCAAAAGAGGAUGCAGAACUUUCAAAGGGAAGAGGGCAAAACAGUGACCCAGCUGACAGGGACGGGAAUGCUGGGCUGAAAGCUGGUGAACAGAAGGAGGUUAGAGCCACUCUUCAUAUGAUCAAAGAUCCUCAGGUUUUAAGGAGGAAAAUAUGUAAGGUGAGUGAAUAAUAAAACAACCAAUUUAGUGAUUGAAAAAAAAAA